GACGAACGCUGGCGGCGUGCCUAAUACAUGCAAGUCGAACGAGAGCGACCGGCGCUUGCACUGGUUAAUCUAGUGGCGAACGGGUGAGUAACACGUGGGUAACCUGCCUAUCAGAGGGGGAUAACAUCCGGAAACGGAUGCUAAAACCGCAUAGGUCUUCGAGCUGCAUGGCUUGAAGAGGAAAAGAGGCGCAAGCUUCUGCUGAUGGAUGGACCCGCGGUGCAUUAGCUAGUUGGUGAGGUAACGGCUCACCAAGGCCGUGAUGCAUAGCCGACCUGAGAGGGUGAUCGGCCACAUUGGGACUGAGACACGGCCCAAACUCCUACGGGAGGCAGCAGUAGGGAAUCUUCCGCAAUGGACGCAAGUCUGACGGAGCAACGCCGCGUGAGUGAAGAAGGUUUUCGGAUCGUAAAACUCUGUUGUUAGAGAAGAACAAGUGCUAGAGUAACUGUUAG
This 455-nucleotide ribosomal RNA is filed under the name Granulicatella adiacens. RNAcentral's name for it is "bacterial SSU rRNA". It matches the Rfam family "Bacterial small subunit ribosomal RNA", at positions 28 to 471 of the family's 1533-position model. Lineage: Bacteria; Bacillati; Bacillota; Bacilli; Lactobacillales; Carnobacteriaceae. The record is from RNAcentral.